UACGUAGGGGGCAAGCGUUGUCCGGAUUUAUUGGGCGUAAAGAGCGUGUAGGCGGCUUUACAGGUCCGUUGUGAAAACUCGAGGCUCAACCUCGAGACGCCGGUGGAAACCGUAAAGCUAGAGUCCGGAAGAGGAGAGUGGAAUUCCUGGUGUAGCGGUGAAAUGCGCAGAUAUCAGGAGGAACACCAGUGGCGAAGGCGACUUCCUGGCCUGUUCUUGACGCUGAGGCGCGAAAGCUAGGGGAGCAAACGGG
This 253-nucleotide ribosomal RNA is filed under the name uncultured bacterium. RNAcentral describes it as "partial 16S ribosomal RNA". It matches the Rfam family "Bacterial small subunit ribosomal RNA", at positions 524 to 776 of the family's 1533-position model. The record is from RNAcentral.